This is a long non-coding RNA of Hordeum vulgare subsp. vulgare (domesticated barley), 389 nucleotides long. RefSeq lists it as uncharacterized. The record is from RefSeq and is a predicted model, not a curated record. The transcript has 3 exons. NCBI's taxonomy places the organism in Eukaryota, Viridiplantae, Streptophyta, Magnoliopsida, Poales, Poaceae.
GUAUGCCUGACCAUGGUGGAAUUUAGUACGUGCUCUCCCCUCAGUUUCAUCUUACUUUUGUUUUUCAAUUGCAGUGUGUUGCUUCACACCCUGAGACCAGGAUCCCGUUCUUGAAUGCUCACAUCCCACUGUACCUAUACCCGUUCCUGAAUACUACCAGCAAGGCAAGACCUUUUGAGUACUUGAGGCUUACCAGCUUGGGUGUUAUUGGAAACUGCUGGAUGUUCAGUGUGAAGCGACCAAAGAGACCAAGUUGUCUGAAGCGACAGGGGCCUAAGUGGAGGAGUAGAUCAGCUGAAGUCCAUAACCAGUAAGAGAAUGUGAGAUUAGGAUCAGAUGCUAUCUGUGGCGUAAUGUUACAACUGAGCAAGGGGGAUUCUUUCUUCUUU